RNAcentral lists this non-coding RNA (223 nucleotides) under unclassified sequences. RNAcentral's name for it is "IS605-orfB-I RNA". It matches the Rfam family "IS605-orfB-I RNA". The record is from Rfam by way of RNAcentral.
GUCCUAUAAAGAUGUAUUAACGCGAGACAGUUGGGCAUAUCCCUUUAGGAUGAAGUUUAUCAGAAGCUUUGAUGAUAAGUCUUGUUGCGUGGCUACGGUCGAAACAAGGUGAGUCAGGGUGGAAUAGGUUAACUGUAAGACCUUGAGCUGGAAAACUCUAAAAUUGACCUAGAGAUACAAAAAAAACACACAGAAAUGUUUUAGUAUCUAUAGUUACGGUAAA